This 576-nucleotide long non-coding RNA is filed under the name Danio rerio (zebrafish). RNAcentral's name for it is "lncRNA (ENSDARG00000117591.1)". The record is from RNAcentral. Lineage: Eukaryota; Metazoa; Chordata; Actinopteri; Cypriniformes; Danionidae.
CAACAUUCUCAUUGGAGUUUCAACAGCAAAGUCCACUGCAAAUGCUUCAUCCACAGACAUACACACAAAUAAGUAAGGUUUACCUGACAAUAAAAUUAUUCUUAAUCCUAAUGUUAACUGAAAAAUUUUAAUAAUCCUACAAGCAAAGAUUUUAUUUCGAAGAUAUUUUCCUCCAUAUAAAUGCAUUCACUUCACUUCUCAAUCUCUGUAGAAUAUUUACAUCUUCCUAUGCACACACACAAAUUAUAAAACAAAUACAUGUUCAUUUUUUCUCAGCUGGACUUAUUAAUCUAAAAAGCACAUACUGUAUAUAUUAAACUUCAUUACUGUACAUAAACAUGUAUUAAAGUGUUGGUGUCGUUUUGAGACAGAUAAAGAAGCUACAUGGCUGAUACCGCUGGUUUCCACUGCUGUUGGUGUCAUUUUAUGUGGAUUCCUCUGUCUCUGCUGGUUUGCAAGUAAAAGAAGAAGAAACAAGGAUAAAAUGAGAACGAUGAACCCCGAUGUGCCCAGUCAAGGAAUCGGUAUAGUGAGUAUCUAUUCAUUAACAACCUUAAUAUAAAUAAAAUAAUAAAA